RNAcentral lists this transfer RNA (73 nucleotides) under Stegodyphus mimosarum. It matches the Rfam family "tRNA". From Rfam's summary of the family: Transfer RNA (tRNA) molecules are approximately 80 nucleotides in length. Their secondary structure includes four short double-helical elements and three loops (D, anti-codon, and T loops). The record is from Rfam by way of RNAcentral. Lineage: Eukaryota; Metazoa; Arthropoda; Arachnida; Araneae; Eresidae.
GCCUUCAUGGUGUAGGGGUCAACACGCUUAACGCGCAUUCUAGAGGUCCGUGGUUCGAGUCCCGGCGAGGGCA